This 362-nucleotide ribosomal RNA is filed under the name uncultured bacterium. RNAcentral's name for it is "partial 16S ribosomal RNA". It matches the Rfam family "Bacterial small subunit ribosomal RNA", at positions 338 to 697 of the family's 1533-position model. The record is from RNAcentral.
CCUACGGGUGGCAGCAGUGAGGAAUAUUGGUCAAUGGACGAAAGGCUGACCCAGCCAUGCCGCGUGAAGGAUGACGGCGCUAUGAGUUGUAAACUUCUUUUGUACGGGGGUAAACGCAGGUACGCGUAUCUGCCUGACAGUAUCGUACGAAAAAGGAUCGGCUAACUCCGUGCCAGCAGCCGCGGUAAUACGGAGGAUUCAAGCGUUAUCCGGAUUUAUUGGGUUUAAAGGGUGCGUAGGCGGUCGGUUAAGUUAGAUGUGAAAUCCCGGGGCUCAACCUCGGAAGGGCCUGUGAUACUGUGCGGCUGGAGAGUAGAGGAGGUAGGCGGAAUGCGAGGUGUAGCGGUGAAAUGCUUAGAGAU